CCCAGAUUCUUAUUUGUAAAACGGAGAGAAUCGUAGUAUUUAUAUCGCCAUACUGUGCCAAUUAAAUGAGUGAAUGCAUGCAAAGAACUUAAAACGGUGUCCGGAACAGGUAGACUUCAAUUGGUUCCUCCCGGCAGACCGCAUGAAACGUGAUUCUUUCUAAGGAUGCAUUCUUGAGAAGGUGGAAAAUGUGCUUCAGGAUCAUCCGAACGUCGUUGCUCUGACACCCGCAUGAACGGAGCAGCGCACAAAGACCCACUGUGGCGGUUGUGGUGCCUGGAAGAUGGCUCACUCGAUGUGCUGGGACCGAGCUCUGGCCGUUCACAGCCGGAAAUCUCCUGUUGCUCCUUACACACCUCCCUGGAGGGUAGAAAACCCCCUAGAAAAGGCACUGGAAACGGAGAGUUUAAUAAAUCCGGAGUUACGAACACAGCCGUAUCAGCCGUCUGCCCUGCCUUCACUGGACAACUGUUUACUUGAUAACUUGGCACAGAUCUUCCUCUACUUACCUGGUUUAUGUCUCAAUAAACCCAUCCUAGGUUGAAAAUAUUCUAAGUCAAACAUGCGUUUAACACACUGGUACACCUUUCGUUUCCUUACAGACUAAGCGUUACUGGCGUAAAGGGUAGAGUUGGAUCUCUUUGGGGGUGAUGUCCGGGUGUUACUCAUUCUAAAUUCUAGGAGCUGCUUUGUAUAACAGGUGGACACGGCUGGAGAGACCUCAAGUUUGGAAAAUCAAGAUCUCUUUGGAGUUUUACAAGGAAAAUGUUCAAAAACGAGAAACUGACUGUCCCAAUUUGUUUUAGAAGAAAAGUACAAGUUGUAAAACUUUAUUAAUC
Molecule: long non-coding RNA, 839 nt
Organism: Panthera uncia (snow leopard)
Lineage: Eukaryota; Metazoa; Chordata; Mammalia; Carnivora; Felidae
Exons: 3
Source: RefSeq, a predicted model, not a curated record